RNAcentral lists this ribosomal RNA (253 nucleotides) under uncultured bacterium. Its description in RNAcentral is "partial 16S ribosomal RNA". It matches the Rfam family "Bacterial small subunit ribosomal RNA", at positions 524 to 776 of the family's 1533-position model. The record is from RNAcentral.
CACGUAGGCACCAAGCGUUAUCCGGAUUUAUUGGGCGUAAAGAGCUCGUAGGCGGUUUGUCGCGUCGAAUGUGAAAACCCGGGGCUCAACUCCGGGCCUGCAUUCGAUACGGGCAGACUAGAGUUCGGUAGGGGAGACUGGAAUUCCUGGUGUAGCGGUGAAAUGCGCAGAUAUCAGGAGGAACACCGGUGGCGAAGGCGGGUCUCUGGGCCGAUACUGACGCUGAGGAGCGAAAGCGUGGGGAGCGAACAGG